UAUCGUGCACGGAUACCGCUAUAGAGAUUACAGGCUUUAUCUCUAUGCUCACUAAGUGCUCGGACAUUAACCUCUUAAUGUUCUUCGAUGAGCCUGCCCGGUUUAGUUUCGAAGCAGGAACAGAUACGGAACAUACACAA
Non-coding RNA from Drosophila ficusphila, 140 nucleotides. The record is from Rfam. NCBI's taxonomy places the organism in Eukaryota, Metazoa, Arthropoda, Insecta, Diptera, Drosophilidae.